CGAGGCGCGGUGGAGGCGGACCGGCCAGGGGGAAGGGGCACUUCCGGAGUCCAGACGCUGCGGGCGGAGGGAAGAGCCGAGGAAGUGAUUCUGGAUGGCGGGUCCCAGGAGAGGCGCCUGUGCACCGGGCGAUACCCAUCCAGGAAAUGAGUUUUUGUGUGUUUCGUUGAUCUGAGAACAAAGAAGGUAAACAUCAGAGGUCACACCAGAGCUGAUGCAACCGGAGGAACCCACUCCACCUCAGCCUGUGCCCUGCGCUCUGUCUGAAAAGGAAACACCCAGACAUGUGGAAGCCAGCCUGCAGCUCCAAGUGUGACGGCUUGUUGGGAUCAAAAGCCUCCUGCUGAAGAGAGUUCCGGGAGAAGCCUUUGCCGGCCUGGACCUCCCCUGGCCUGAGAGCUUGUGGGGAAACCAUCCAGGCCAGCCUGUCACUGGACUGUUCCGUCGGGGGCACCCCUGGCAAAUAGGGAAGUCCCUGUGCUCGCACACCUCAGGCGGUGGAAGGCUCACCCCUCUAAGGCGGCCUGCUCCACCGUCUAUUCAUGGCACAGCCCCUGAAGCUUCAACAAACAGAAGCUCCUACCCUGUGGACAUAAGGGCCACGUGCUGACCUGACCAGCCCGGGGAGGCCUGCGUGGCGGUCUUGCAAACAUAAAGACCUAAAGUCACCACAAAGGAUGUCUGAAAUUAAAACUUCACCUAAAAGCAGC
Myotis myotis is the source of this 710-nucleotide long non-coding RNA. RefSeq lists it as uncharacterized. The transcript is spliced from 2 exons. NCBI's taxonomy places the organism in Eukaryota, Metazoa, Chordata, Mammalia, Chiroptera, Vespertilionidae. The record is from RefSeq and is a predicted model, not a curated record.